UAACGGCGAGGAAGCUUCCCUCACCCGCAUUCUCCUCCCUCUCCCGGGUUUUGGUUCCCCUAAAGCAACCUGGUGUUCAGACAAAGUUUAACUCCAAGCCUCGGCGGGAUGUCUCCUCCUGAUAAGCCUUCCCGGAAGCCCAGCAUUUCAAGUCACCGGUGUCGCCGCAGCCCCCUGUCCCUCUUGGAGGGGCCGCGGACACAUUAAGUUCGCGCGUGAGGGAGGCCAUAAAUCCCUGGGCGAGCGACACAUCCUUGCAACUUGACGCCUAGUGGGACAUUUUCUCCUUGCUACCCCGGGACCUCCCAUUGGGACCGGGGAUCUUCAGAAGCUGUAGGGAGCUGUGCGGCUCCUCCAGCACCUCGAAGAUCGCCGCCCCGAUGGCCAGGUAGAAGAUGAUGGCCGAGCUGAGGUUUUUCCCGUCUGUUCCUGCGGCUCACACACCUACUCACCUACUACCUACAGGCCUCGGAGGAAAGGGAUUCCGACUGAAGAAGAGUAUCAGGAACUAAGUUCCCAGGACCCCUCCACGUCUGGGAGCCACACUCACACUCCAAGGACAGCCUUAUUCCUAAGCCUAUUUAAAAAUGACAACAUUGGGCAGGGCUAGGGAGACAGCGUUUAGAGCUCCUGCUGCUUCUUCAGAGAAACUGAGUUCGGUUCCCAGCACACACACCAGGUGGUUCACAACUUCCUAUGACUCCAGUUCCAGAGAGACCCGACACCUCUGGCUUCCAUGAGCACCUGUACUCACGUGCAAAUAUCCCUCAUGCAUUGCAGACACGUACACAUCGCACAUGAUACAUAUAAUU
This is a long non-coding RNA of Nannospalax galili (Upper Galilee mountains blind mole rat), 812 nucleotides long. RefSeq lists it as uncharacterized. The record is from RefSeq and is a predicted model, not a curated record. The transcript is spliced from 4 exons. Lineage: Eukaryota; Metazoa; Chordata; Mammalia; Rodentia; Spalacidae.